This 253-nucleotide ribosomal RNA is filed under the name uncultured bacterium. RNAcentral's name for it is "partial 16S ribosomal RNA". It matches the Rfam family "Bacterial small subunit ribosomal RNA", at positions 524 to 776 of the family's 1533-position model. The record is from RNAcentral.
UACGUAGGGGGCAAGCGUUGUCCGGAUUUAUUGGGCGUAAAGAGCGUGUAGGCGGUUAGGUAGGUCCGUUGUGAAAACUCGAGGCUCAACCUCGAGACGCCGAUGGAAACCAUCUAACUAGAGUCCGGAAGAGGAGAGUGGAAUUCCUGGUGUAGCGGUGAAAUGCGCAGAUAUCGGGAGGAACACCAGUGGCGAAGGCGGUUGCCUGGAGCUUUGCUGACGCUGAGGCGCGAAAGCGUGGGGAGCGAGCCGG